AGAGCGUCGAAUGUAUGCCGUUGGGGGUAGAGCACUGGAUGGUUGCGGGGGUCGCGAGAUCUACCAAUACUAACCAAACUCCGAAUACCAACGAGUCUAGUCCGGCAGACAGACGGCGGGUGCUAAGGUCCGUCGUCAAAAGGGAAACAGCCCUAACCUACAGCUAAGGUCCCCAAGUCAUAUCUAAGUGGGAAAGCAUGU
This 201-nucleotide ribosomal RNA is filed under the name Pseudo-nitzschia pungens. Its description in RNAcentral is "partial Bacterial large subunit ribosomal RNA". It matches the Rfam family "Bacterial large subunit ribosomal RNA", at positions 876 to 1076 of the family's 2925-position model. Lineage: Eukaryota; Bacillariophyta; Bacillariophyceae; Bacillariales; Bacillariaceae. The record is from RNAcentral.